AUGCCGCGCGGCAGCCUGGAGAACCACCUGUUCCGGCGGGGCAGCCAGCCGCCGCUGCCGUGGUCCACGCGCGUGUCCGUCGCCGUCGACGUGGCCCGCGGCCUCGCCUUCCCCCACUCCCGCGACGUCAUCUUCCGUGACCUCAAGUCCUCCAACGUGCUCCUCGGCCCCGACCACCGCACCAAGCUCUCCGACUUCGGCCUCGCCCGCGCCGGCCCCACCGGCGGCAAGAGCCACGUCUCCACCCGCGUCGGCGGCAAGCUAGGAGACUCUCUUCAUUUAAUUAUUGAGGCGGAGGUGCCCGUGGUCAGUCAACGGAGUGAUUCAUCCAACCAACCUGCUCCUGCUGCUCCGACUCGGACAGCAACAAGCUGCUGGCGUACGAGUACAUGCCCCGGGGCAGCCUCGAGAACCACCUGUUCCGGCGCGGCAGCCAGCCGCCGGUGCCGUGGUCCACGCGCGUGUCCGUCGCCGUCGACGUCGCCUUCCUCCACUCCCGCGACGUCAUCUUCCGGGACCUCAAGUCCUCCAACGUGCUGCUUCGGGGUGGUGCUGCUGGAGCUCAUGACGGGGCGCCGCGCGCUGGACGAGGCCCGCGGAGUGGCGUCGGAGUUGCUGGUGGACUGGGCGAUGCCGAUGCUGCAGGGGGAGCGGCGCAAGGUGAUACGGGUCAUGGACACCAGGCUCGGCGGGCAGUACCCCAAGAGGCAGGCGCAGGACAUGGCCGCGCUCGCGCUCCGCUGCCUCCAGAACGACCCCAAGACCCGCCCCUCCAUGGCCGACGACGUCCUACCCUCCCUCGAGCUCCUGCUGCAGCCAACCACCGCCAAGUCCUCCUCCUCCUCGACGACGACGACGUCAUCCAGAUCGCCGGCCGCGUCGGCGGCGCCGGUGCACAGAGGCCAUCGUCGUCACAAAGUCUAG
RNAcentral lists this ribosomal RNA (924 nucleotides) under Triticum aestivum (bread wheat). RNAcentral describes it as "partial small subunit ribosomal RNA". Lineage: Eukaryota; Viridiplantae; Streptophyta; Magnoliopsida; Poales; Poaceae. The record is from RNAcentral.